Phrynosoma platyrhinos (Desert horned lizard) is the source of this 70-nucleotide non-coding RNA. Lineage: Eukaryota; Metazoa; Chordata; Lepidosauria; Squamata; Phrynosomatidae. The record is from the annotation of a GenBank genome assembly.
GUAUGUGAAACAGUGGUUUGAGUGCUGGACUACAAAUCUGGGGUCCAGGGUUCAAUUCCCAGCUUGGCCA